Molecule: ribosomal RNA, 1911 nt
Filed under: Helicobacter pylori GC26
Lineage: Bacteria; Pseudomonadati; Campylobacterota; Epsilonproteobacteria; Campylobacterales; Helicobacteraceae
Description: bacterial LSU rRNA
Rfam family: Bacterial large subunit ribosomal RNA
Source: RNAcentral
UUAAAACAAGCUUUUAAGAGCAGAUGGCGGAUGCCUUGCCAAAGAGAGGCGAUGAAGGACGUACUAGACUGCGAUAAGCUAUGCGGAGCUGUCAAGGAGCUUUGAUGCGUAGAUGUCCGAAUGGGGCAACCCAACUAAUAGAGAUAUUAGUUACUCUAAUUUAGAGAGCGAACCUAGUGAAGUGAAACAUCUCAGUAACUAGAGGAAAAGAAAUCAACGAGAUUCCCUAAGUAGUGGCGAGCGAACGGGGAAAAGGGCAAACCGAGUGCUUGCAUUCGGGGUUGAGGACUGCAAUAUCCACAAGAACGCUUUAGCAGAGUUACCUGGAAAGGUAAGCCAUAGAAAGUGAUAGCCUUGUAUGCGACAAGGCGUUCUUAGGUAGCAGGAUCCAGAGUAGGCCAGGACACGAGAAAUCCAGGUUGAAGCCGGGGAGACCACUCUCCAACCCUAAAUACUACUCUUUGAGCGAUAGCGAACAAGUACCGUGAGGGAAAGGUGAAAAGAACCGCAGUGAGCGGAGUGAAAUAGAACCUGAAACCAUCUGCUUACAAUCAUUCAGAGCCCUAUGAUUUAUCAGGGUGAUGGACUGCCUUUUGCAUAAUGAUCCUGCGAGUUGUGGUAUCUGGCAAGGUUAAGCGGAUGCGAAGCCGUAGCGAAAGCGAGUCUUAAUAGGGCGAUCAAGUCAGAUGCUGCAGACCCGAAGCUAAGUGAUCUAUCCAUGGCCAAGUUGAAACGCGUGUAAUAGCGCGUGGAGGACUGAACUCGUACCCAUUGAAACGGGUUGGGAUGAGCUGUGGAUAGGGGUGAAAGGCCAAACAAACUUAGUGAUAGCUGGUUCUCUUCGAAAUAUAUUUAGGUAUAGCCUCAAGUGAUAAUAAAAGGGGGUAGAGCGCUGAUUGGGCUAGGGCUGCUCGCCGCGGUACCAAACCCUAUCAAACUUCGAAUACCUUUUAUCGUAUCUUGGGAGUCAGGCGGUGGGUGAUAAAAUCAAUCGUCAAAAGGGGAACAACCCAGACUACCAAAUAAGGUCCCUAAGUUCUAUUCUGAGUGGAAAAAGAUGUGUGGCUACUCAAACAACCAGGAGGUUGGCUUAGAAGCAGCCAUCCUUUAAAGAAAGCGUAACAGCUCACUGGUCUAGUGGUCAUGCGCUGAAAAUAUAACGGGGCUAAGAUAGACACCGAAUUUGUAGAUUGUGUUAAACACAGUGGUAGAAGAGCGUUCAUACCAGCGUUGAAGGUAUACCGGUAAGGAGUGCUGGAGCGGUAUGAAGUGAGCAUGCAGGAAUGAGUAACGAUAAGAUAUAUGAGAAUUGUAUCCGCCGUAAAUCUAAGGUUUCCUACGCGAUGGUCGUCAUCGUAGGGUUAGUCGGAUCCUAAGCCGAGUCCGAAAGGGGUAGGUGAUGGCAAAUUGGUUAAUAUUCCAAUACCGACUUAUGGAGCGUGAUGGGGGGACGCAUAGGGUUAAGCGAGCUAGCUGAUGGAAGCGCUAGUCUAAGGGCGUAGAUUGGAGGGAAGGCAAAUCCACCUCUGUAUUUGAAACCCAAACAGGCUCUUUGAGUCCUUUCAGGACAAAGGGAGAAUCGCUGAUACCGUCGUGCCAAGAAAAGCCUCUAAGCAUAUCCAUAGUCGUCCGUACCGCAAACCGACACAGGUAGAUGAGAUGAGUAUUCUAAGGCGCGUGAAAGAACUCUGGUUAAGGAACUCUGCAAACUAGCACCGUAAGUUCGCGAUAAGGUGUGCCGCAGCAAUGCGGUCUCAGCAAAGAGUCCCUCCCGACUGUUUACCAAAAACACAGCACUUUGCCAACUCGUAAGAGGAAGUAUAAGGUGUGACGCCUGCCCGGUGCUCGAAGGUUAAGAGGAUGCGUCAGUCGCAAGAUGAAGCGUUGAAUUGAAGCCCGAGUAAACGGCGG